CAGCCGUAAACUAUGCUCGCUAGGUGUCAGGCAUGGCGCGACCGUGUCUGGUGCCGCAGGGAAGCCGUGAAGCGAGCCACCUGGGAAGUACGGCCGCAAGGCUGAAACUUAAAGGAAUUGGCGGGGGAGCACAACAACGGGUGGAGCCUGCGGUUUAAUUGGACUCAACGCCGGACAACUCACCGGGGACGACAGCAAUAUGUAGGCCAGGCUGAAGACCCUGCAUGACUAGCUGAGAGGUGGUGCAUGGCGUAGACGUCU
This 261-nucleotide ribosomal RNA is filed under the name uncultured archaeon. RNAcentral's name for it is "partial 16S ribosomal RNA". It matches the Rfam family "Archaeal small subunit ribosomal RNA", at positions 748 to 1009 of the family's 1478-position model. The record is from RNAcentral.